UCGUGCUAGACGGAGAGUUAGCGGUGCUUUGUAACCUGCAAUCCGCUGUAGCAGGGUUGAAUUCCCCACCGAGGCACCAGGGUUUGAGGUCAGCCAGAGGUAAAGUGACGUUGAGAGUUGGACCCUUCGCAAUAGAACCUUAUGAACCCCGUCAGGUCAGGAAUGAAGCAGCGGUAAGUAAGAUCUUCUAUGUGCCGGAGGAUUAUCUGAUUUGAGUUGCCUAUCUAUGUAACGCUUGGAAACUGGUUGUCGAAGUGGGGUGCACGA
RNAcentral lists this signal recognition particle RNA (267 nucleotides) under Acetobacterium sp. RNAcentral describes it as "signal recognition particle sRNA large type". It matches the Rfam family "Bacterial large signal recognition particle RNA". Rfam says of the family: The signal recognition particle (SRP) is a universally conserved ribonucleoprotein involved in the co-translational targeting of proteins to membranes. Archaeal SRP consists of a 7S RNA and homologues of the eukaryotic SRP19 and SRP54 proteins. In most bacteria, the SRP consists of a 4.5S RNA and the Ffh protein (a homologue of the eukaryotic SRP54 protein). Lineage: Bacteria; Bacillati; Bacillota; Clostridia; Eubacteriales; Eubacteriaceae. The record is from RNAcentral. RNAcentral also lists the same sequence under 1 other name.